CCUACGGGUGGCAGCAGUGAGGAAUAUUGGUCAAUGGGCGCGAGCCUGAACCAGCCAAGUCGCGUGAAGGAUGAAUGCCCUACGGGUUGUAAACUUCUUUUCUAAAGGAAUAAAGUGAGGCACGUGUGCCUUUUUGUAUGUACUUUAUGACUAAGGAUCGGCUAACUCCGUGCCAGCAGCCGCGGUAAUACGGAGGAUCCGAGCGUUAUCCGGAUGUAUGGGGGUUAAAGGGAGCGUAGAUGGGUUGUUAAGUCAGUUGUGAAAUUUUGCGGCUCAACCGUAAAAUUGCAAUUGAUACUGGCAGUCUUGAGUACAGUUGAGGGAGGCGGAAUUCGUGGUGUAGCGGUGAAAUGCUUAGAGAUCACGAAGAACUCCGAUUGCGAAGGCAGCUUACUAAACUGCCACUGACAUUGAUGCGCGAAAGUGUGGGGAUCAAACAGGAUUAGAUACCCGUGUAGUC
This 460-nucleotide ribosomal RNA is filed under the name uncultured bacterium. RNAcentral's name for it is "partial 16S ribosomal RNA". It matches the Rfam family "Bacterial small subunit ribosomal RNA", at positions 338 to 795 of the family's 1533-position model. The record is from RNAcentral.